GAUGAAGAACGCAGCGAAAUGCGACAAGUAAUGUGAAUUGCAGAAUUCCGUGAAUCAUCGAAUCUUUGAACGCACAUUGCGCCCCUUGGUAUCCCGAGGGGCAUGCCUGUUCGAGCGUCAUUUCACCACUCAAGCCUGGCUUGGUGUUGGGCGACGUCCUCUUUGGGGACGCGCCUCGAAACGCUCGGCGGCGUGGCACCGGCUUUAAGCGUAGCAGAAUCUUUCGCUUUGGAAGUCGGGGCCCCGUCUGCCGGAAGACCUGCUCGCAAGGUUGACCUCGGAUCAGGCAGGGAUACCCGCUGAACUUAAGCAUAUCAAUAAGCGGAGGA
This 329-nucleotide unclassified non-coding RNA is filed under the name soil metagenome. Its description in RNAcentral is "partial contains 5.8S ribosomal RNA, internal transcribed spacer 2, and large subunit ribosomal RNA". The stretch from base 1 to 120 matches the Rfam family "5.8S ribosomal RNA", at positions 35 to 154 of the family's 154-position model. The record is from RNAcentral.